AGUGGCGAACGGGUGAGUAACACAUCGGAACGUACCCAGGAGUGGGGGACAACCUCGAGAAAUCGAGGCUAAUACCGCAUACGUCCUGAGGGAGAAAGCGGGGGAUUCGCAAGGACCUCGCGCUCAUGGAUCGGCCGAUGCCGGAUUAGCUAGUUGGUGGGGUAAUAGCCCACCAAGGCUACGAUCCGUAGCUGGUUUGAGAGAACGACCAGCCACACUGGGACUGAGACACGGCCCAG
Molecule: ribosomal RNA, 239 nt
Filed under: uncultured bacterium
Lineage: Bacteria
Description: partial 16S ribosomal RNA
Rfam family: Bacterial small subunit ribosomal RNA
Source: RNAcentral